AGUUAAUUUGAAAUUUUCCCGCUAUUUCUACACAGUUUAAUUGCCAACAUGGAAACCGCUAGCGUCAAUUGUUGUCAAGCCAGUGCUGCUGCAGCAAGUGCAUCUUAGGCCUGAAAGUGCAUCUGAUUCUAAAACUCUAUUUAUGUUGAAGCUGGUGACACAUCGUAAUAUCACUGACGGAACAUAUAAAAUACAAUGGAUCCAAGGGGCCCUCCUGAGGGGGGCCCUGGUGACACAUUUGAUAUGUCUAAUAUUGGCAAAGUUGCUGACACUUCGGUAACUUGGCCAAUUGAUAGCCCGAUUAACUCAGGAAUAUUUGAACAACCAAAGAAGAUGAAUAAUAAUAGAUUACUAUUUUUGACCGUUGAAUAUGUUGAAGAUCAAUCAAGAGAUUAUUCCCGCUUAUUCCCAACAUACGAGCAGGUCUCGUUCUCACCCAGACCUUCAUCUCCUCUAUCUGAUUUUGAGCAUCGUGUUAGUCCACUUGAUCCAAAUAUGAGUUCUGCUGCUAGGUAUUCGCCAACUCCGGUUCAAUUAACUCCAUCUCCUUUUCAUAAUUCUGUUGUUAUUCUCCAAGGUCCUUCCUCCCCUUUGAUAUCUACAACUGAAUCCAAUGUAAGAUCAAGUAUCAAUUUUGUGAGUCAAUUGACUCAUCCAAUAGAUGCACAAACUGAUACUGGAACAGAUUUUAUUGACGAAGAAAAUGAAGAAACUUUAGUUUCUAGUGUUGGAAAUGAAUUAAUAUUAAUGCAAGAGUCUAAUGCAGAAUUGGAACAAAGCACAACUCCACUCAUGUUAACAGGUAUAUCAGGUGCAGAUUUUACUUUGACAAGAGAUUAUAUAGUAAUGCAAGAUGAUCAAGUAAAUGUAAUGAAUUCUUUGAAAAAUCCAACUCUUUCAAUGGGAGAUAAUCAUAUCACUAAUGCAUCUGAAAAAAAGGAUAUAACAAAAGAAAGUAAUUCUCAGUCAAUAACAGAAGCCAAUGUGCAAAUGGGUCAAAUUAAUGAAAUAUUAUCUCAUGCAAAUAAAAAAAAAACUAUUGAUAAGAAGAAUACAAAGAAGUCAAAGCAACAGAUGGAUGAUGACAAAAAUUUUUGGUGCGAUGAAUGUGAUGGUAUUUGUACCAAUGAAGAUGGUUGCACUUCUCAUAAUGUAUGUACGAUUGCCGAUCAACCUGUACCAUCACGAGCUAUAGCUACACUGCCAGGAUCAUAUCUUUCUAUAAAUAAAUUAUCUGCUGUGGAUAUUAUACCGGGAGGUUCUGAAUAUGGAGUUUUUGCGAAACGCAAUAUUCGUAGGCGUACACAAUUUGGUCCUAUUGAAGGUAUUUUAUAUGGUUACGAUGGCACACCCUUUGAAAAUGCAUUGCCAUUGCUUUAUGAAGCAGAAGAAGGACAAUUUUUGAAAGUUGAUGUUUCAGAUGAAAAUACUUCAAAUUGGAUGCGUUUUGUGAGGCCUGCACUUACUUAUAAAGAACAGAAUCUAGUGAUUUGUCAACAGAAAGAUGGAAUUGUAUUUUUAACUACAAAAAAUAUUUUACCAAAAGAAGAACUAAGAGCAGGACCUCAUCCUGAUUAUGCAGCACGUAGAAAUUUAAUGGUAUUGAAACCUGAUGUGCGAGAUGACAAAGAACAUAACAACAGUAUGAAUAUUUGGCCAAGAUCAGAUAAUAAUUCUUAUAAUCAUGCAAGACGUAUGAAAUUAUACAGAGGCAGAAAUUUGAAAGAAAAAGAAAAUACAAGACAAAAUAAUUGUAAAGAAUGGAAAUGUUGUACAUGCAAUUUGAUCUUCAAAAAAUUAUCUUUAUUUAAAUUACAUAAUCUAAUGCACAAUCCAGAAGACAAUAAAAUAAAUUGUCAAUCAACAAUUUGUCCACAGUGUGGAUUAGAAUGCCAGAAAAGAUCUGAAUUAAUCAGUCAUGUUUCACAGCAUGGAAGAUUAUCUUUGCCAAAAGGUAAUAAAUUGACUUCAGUGGUUGCUGCAUAUAAGUGCUCAAUGUGUUAUAAACGCUUUGCUACAAAAGUACGACUACAGAAACAUUGUUUGGUGCAUGGUGCCGAGGACCAAAAGCCACUGCCAUGCAGCAUUUGUCUGAAAAGAUUCAUGAAUAAUUCUGCUUUAUCUUGUCAUUUAAAAACGCAUAGAGAAAAUAAACAAGUGUAUGAAUGUCCAAUAUGCAGACAACUCUUUGAUCAAGGUGUGAUGUUAAAAGAUCAUGUCGAGACACAUAGAAAUGGAGAUCAUACAUUUACCUGUCCACAUUGUCAAAGAAAUUUUAUUAAAUAUUCAGUAAUUCGUAAACAUAUAAGAGCUCAUCAUUGUGAAAGAAAACACAAGUGUCAGUUUUGUACAAAGCGUUUCCCUACAAUGGAUAAAUUACAAAUGCAUUUACUUAAACAUUCUGAUCACAGAGAAUUUCACUGUGCUGAUUGUGGAAAACAAUUCAAAAGAAAAGAUAAACUUAAGGAACACAUGACUAGAAUGCAUAAUUUGCAGAAAAUAAAUCAAGAACAAACAGUACAAAAUAAUCAAGCAAAGAAGUUUGUGCCAAAGGUAAACCCAAAUGAUUACAAUCGUUUCAUAUAUAAAUGUCAUCAAUGUCUAGUAGGAUUUAAGCGAAGAGGAAUGCUCGUAAAUCAUUUGGCAAAACGACAUCCAGAUGUUGCCCCAGAGUCUGUCCCCGAAUUAAAUUUACCAAUUUUGCGACAAACGAGAGAUUAUUAUUGUCAAUAUUGUGAUAAGGUAUAUAAAAGCAGCAGUAAACGUAAAGCUCAUAUCAUGAAGAACCAUCCAGGUGCUGCUUUACCACCAAGUAAUCGUCAAAAAGAAUCAGAAUAUUCGAGUCUGCCUAAUCCAACAUUUAGUCAGACAGUUGGUAGUAUUACAACUACACCUCAAGGAUGUCAAUGGUGCCAUAAACAAUAUGCUAGUAAGGCAAAACUUUUGCAACAUCAACGUAAGAAACAUCCGAAUUUAAUGGAACCAGCGGAUCAAAUUCCGCGAUCUAGAAGUCGUCCACCACAAAAUCAAAACCAACCACCUACACUAAGUGAUAACAAUUUCAUGUUAUCAGAUUAUAUUCAAGCAUGCGACGUAGACGGAGAAUUUUUUAAGCAGAGGAUAAUCAAAAUAUCAAAUGAUGUUGAUCUAAUAAGUAACGGUUUGGAGUUGGUUGGACAACAAUUUGUACGUAUGCGUGAUAUACGUUGAAGAAAGAAAUGGCACACCCGCUUUGUCGGGAAUCAUCGCCAAUUUAUCGAGAUAUGAAUCUCGUGACUUUGUGCAUAGUCAAAAAGGCUGUGCUUUUUUGCUGCCGGUACCAAACACAAAGGCAUUGUUUGCCUGACAGAAGUGUGGUAUGGUACUUCUACUUGAGAGUAUUUGGAACGCAGCUUUGUCAGCGCCAGUGCGAAACACUGAGCGCUGUUGUCUCAAUUGUGUGAAUUGCAAUGAUGGUCACUGACGAUGACGACUUCAGUGGAUUUGUUGGAACGAUACAUACACGACUUUAUUACUUUGUCUGAGCCUCGAUACAAAAAAAGCCUAAUGACCUAAAGAGUAAUAAUGAACAAGAAACAGUAAGAUUAUACUUGCAAUAGACGUACUAUUGUCUUGUAUAUUAUUGAAAACUUCAUUCACAAGACAUUAUGGAUAUUGAGCAUCAGAAGGAAUGAUUUUUCAUUUAUUUUACUUACACAAGAUGCAUACAGUAACACACAUUAUUACAAAUGCGAAGACAAAAGAUUGCAUGUUUGUUGAUGUCAUUGAGUACAUGGCAAAUUGUACUGUAAACAUGAUUUAAAUAAAGUUAUUGGAUGAUCGAUAUAUAUAACUGUAUGUGUGAUAUACCUCAUUGAUGAUCUCACCGAAAUCAGAGAAGGAAGUGACACAAUCAUUUUGCUUCUACACGUAUCGUUUCCUUACUCUACCACGUUUCACUGAAUAGUAUGCAGAAACAAAAAAAAAUUAUAAUAAUAAUAAUUAUUAUUAUUAUAUAGCGAUGCGUAGUAAUAAAUUAAAAACAUAUUUGAAUUUAUCGAGAAUUAUAGUUUUAAUCUAAAUAUUUUUAUAAAAAGAAAAAAAAAAGAAAAACAAUCGAUCUAGCCAUCGUAUCAAAUUGUAAUUUAGAUUUUAUUUCAAUAGGCUACUUUAAAACGUUGUAAUUGUAUAAUAACAUAUUGCGUAUAUGUGACAAUAACAAAGUGCACUUGCGUAUUGUAAAAACUAAAAAGAGACAACUAGUUAAAGAUCGUAAAUCUAGUAAGUGAAAUGGCUACGAUUCGUUAACUUAUUUUCUACCUAUUUAUUGAAGUUUUAUUUUCAAAUUUUUCGCUAGCUAUCGCUAAAGGACCAACUGCACCAGGUUUGAACACCGAUGCCUGAUGAUUUGGAGUUGUUGCUAUUGGACCACAACCAUCCUUUUGCAUUUGAGCAGUCUCAUAAAGUUGUUUCUGCAUUACAGCCAAGGAUACUUUAUUUGCAGAGAGGAAAUCUUUCAUGGAGAUCAAUUCCCCAGACAUACGUCUAGAACCAUCGGAAUCGUCUUCCGCAGCUCUAAUCGAAUCUUUACCAACGAGUUUCAUAGACCUACGUUUGGAAUAAUAUAUAGAAGACACGGAUGAUUUUCUUCUAGGUAGAUGAGGCGCAGCAAGAUCUUGAUUACCACAUUCAACAGCCGAUAACAAGGAAGACAAAAUUGGCAAAUCUAUACCUGUAAAAACGUAAAUCAAUUAACAUUGAAAACGUUGA
Molecule: unclassified non-coding RNA, 4749 nt
Organism: Vespa mandarinia (Asian giant hornet)
Lineage: Eukaryota; Metazoa; Arthropoda; Insecta; Hymenoptera; Vespidae
Source: RefSeq, a predicted model, not a curated record